RNAcentral lists this ribosomal RNA (417 nucleotides) under uncultured Bacillus sp. RNAcentral's name for it is "bacterial SSU rRNA". It matches the Rfam family "Bacterial small subunit ribosomal RNA", at positions 9 to 410 of the family's 1533-position model. Lineage: Bacteria; Bacillati; Bacillota; Bacilli; Caryophanales; Bacillaceae. The record is from RNAcentral.
GAGUUUGAUCUUGGCUCAGGAUGAACGCUGGCGGCGUGCCUAAUACAUGCAAGUCGAGCGAAUGGAUUAAGAGCUUGCUCUUAUGAAGUUAGCGGCGGACGGGUGAGUAACACGUGGGUAACCUGCCCAUAAGACUGGGAUAACUCCGGGAAACCGGGGCUAAUACCGGAUAACAUUUUGAACCGCAUGGUUCGAAAUUGAAAGGCGGCUUCGGCUGUCACUUAUGGAUGGACCCGCGUCGCAUUAGCUAGUUGGUGAGGUAACGGCUCACCAAGGCAACGAUGCGUAGCCGACCUGAGAGGGUGAUCGGCCACACUGGGACUGAGACACGGCCCAGACUCCUACGGGAGGCAGCAAGUAGGGAAUCUUCCGCAAAUGGACGAAAAGUCUGACGGAGCAAACGCCGCGUGAGUGAUG